GUCAUUUUGUUUACCUAGUUACCCGCAUGUUUAUUUAACCCCUUAAGGACAUUUAACAUGUGUGACAUGUCAUGAUUCCCUUUUAUUUCAGAAGUUUGGUCCUUAGGGGCUUAAUCUGCCCCUCCAUCAGAAAGACAUGCUCUACAACACAGGAACCAAAUACAUCCGGUCUCUGAAAGGAUAACAGGCCCGGCAGCCAGAUAGCACAUCUGUUGAUCGAGGCCAGGAUUCCCCCGC
This is a non-coding RNA of Pelobates cultripes (western spadefoot toad), 237 nucleotides long. The record is from the annotation of a GenBank genome assembly. Lineage: Eukaryota; Metazoa; Chordata; Amphibia; Anura; Pelobatidae.